UUUCUUUGGCAGUGUCUUAGCUGGUUGUUGUGAGUAAUAGCAAAGGAAGCAAUCAGCAGCAUCCUGCCCUAGAACA
RNAcentral lists this microRNA precursor (76 nucleotides) under Sus scrofa (pig). RNAcentral's name for it is "microRNA ssc-mir-34a precursor". Its record names the gene ssc-mir-34a. It matches the Rfam family "mir-34 microRNA precursor family". From Rfam's summary of the family: Human mir-34a was discovered computationally and later experimentally verified. The mature sequence is excised from the 5' arm of the hairpin. The record is from miRBase by way of RNAcentral. Lineage: Eukaryota; Metazoa; Chordata; Mammalia; Artiodactyla; Suidae.